CACAGACAUGAAUAAUUUGUGGCUGAGAUGGAGGCUGGUUCAAAUGUUGUAUAGGAUUAGUGAGAAAACUUACGUGGUUCAUACAGCUUACCCAGUAAAAUUAAGGAUGUUACUUACAAUGGGCUGGAAUUGUAGGGAGAAAAGAAAUACUAAAGAAUAUUGGCGAUAAACCCUCUUGGGAUGUAUCAACCUGGAAAAUCGUGAAGGAGAUUUGAAUAUUGCUUUAACAGGGAUCUUAGAGAAAUGGGUUAUGAGGGCAGGAGGUAAAUGGAAGUAGCUCAGUGCUAUGUCCAGUGAUAGUCUUUGCUCUGAGCCAUGCUGACAUUUUUGUUUCUGUUACCAUAUAUUUUCUGUUAUCUUUGUUUUUCUGAUUCUUGUCACAGUUAUUUAAAAUGUUGUUUCUAUCAACAGGGGUACGUUACUUACUCACACUGUGGCACAGUCCAGUAUGUGGCACCAGAGAUAAUACAAGGCAGAGGCUACAGUUAUGAAGUGGACUGGUGGAGCUUGGGGAUAAUGGCAUAUGAAAUGCUGACUGGAGAAACACCCUUCAAACGUAAGGGCAAGGAAGACGUGAUUAAUCUCUAUAUGGAGAUUGUGUAUGACAAGCCAGUGAUCCCAAGGAAGUUUUCACUGGAUGUGGAGGAUUUCAUCUGUAAACUGUUGACAAAGAAUCCACUAAUGCGUUUAGGUGGAGGGAAAGGCAGUGUAGUGGAUAUAAAGAGACAUCCCUUUUUCAAAAGCUGUCACUUUGUUUGCUAUCAGACAAAAGUAUCACAACCAGUCAAGAAGAAGACUACAUUUCAAAUCCUUGUACGUUCUUCACGGUUGAAUGGUAUUUUAAACCGAGGUGUUCUCACUUUGCUGAACAAUCAGCACUCUAUUCCGUAACACUAACAUUUGUGCUUCACCCUGCAAGGCCUGCAAUGGGAAUGUGUAGAAAGAAAAGAAAUAACUAUGCCUUAUGUGCCGCAUCUUAAUCAUAUGAAAGAGAUCAAUCUCGCUGGAUAGCAUUUGAGCUUGGCGAUUUUCAGUGGGUUGCAGACGAGUGACAGUAUUUAUAAGGGUUAUUCAUUCAUAUCCUCGACACUUACUCCUCAUAGACAUUCUGCAGGUGAAAAUUCUCAGGAGCACCCGAACAUUUCUUGGAAGUUGUCAUUUUGAAUACUUUUUAUUAUUCAGAUUGGAAAGUGAAUUGCCCAUUAGAAGUGAAUAACCCAGGCUGGGUGGAUUUUCCAGUGCAAGUGGAUAAUCCAGAACGAGUGGUGCCAAUUAAAGGAGGUGUUUAUGAUGACGGAUUACCCAGCAACCUACACCAAAUGAUAUGGGUUUUGAAAAUGAGAAGAAGGAGAAGAAUGAUACAAGUUCUCAUACUGAUAGCAGCCUUCUGCGAUAGUGCACUGUGAGGUCUCAUAGAAGUUGACUGAGUCUUCAGAUGUGCAUACUUCUGUGUGCAGGAAAGGAAUUGUUAGAAUAGGAGCAGGAUGAACCAGGUCACUGUUGGGUGAGACAAUGGAAGAAGUUAGGUGUGGACAGACAAAGUGAGAGAGCUGAUGAGAAAGGUUUGGACUAACUCCCUGGUGAGGCUGUGGUCACCUCUGCUGUCCCAUUGGCUCUCUUACUUUGUCCUUACCGUGAUCCUCCCCCUCAACCAUUGGUUCCAACUGCUCCUUUUCUCCCAGCAGCUUUUUUUGUGCAUGGCUUGCUCAUCGCACUGGUGAGGGGAAUGUGGUAUGUGAUUAACAGAGCCCACUAUUGGCUGUGAUGUUAAACCAGUUCGUACA
Zootermopsis nevadensis is the source of this 1784-nucleotide non-coding RNA. Lineage: Eukaryota; Metazoa; Arthropoda; Insecta; Blattodea; Termopsidae. The record is from RefSeq and is a predicted model, not a curated record.